Molecule: ribosomal RNA, 237 nt
Filed under: uncultured bacterium
Lineage: Bacteria
Description: partial 16S ribosomal RNA
Rfam family: Bacterial small subunit ribosomal RNA
Source: RNAcentral
GGGUGAGUAACGCGUGAGCAAUCUGUCUCAGACAGGGGGAUAACGCAGCGAAAGUUGCACUAAUACCGCAUAAGACCACAGAGCCACAUGGCAUAGGGGUCAAAGGAGCAAUCCGGUCUGAGGUGAGCUCGCGUCCCAUUAGGUAGUUGGUGAGGUAACGGCCCACCAAGCCUGCGAUGGGUAGCCGACCUGAGAGGGUGAUCGGCCACACUGGAACUGAGACACGGUCCAGACUCC